CUGUGGUUAAGGAACUCGGCAAAUUACCCCCGUAACUUCGGGAGAAGGGGGGCCACAGACUGUCAUACCCCACGCGGGUGGCAGCAGUAGGUGGCCGCAGAGACCAGGGGGAAGCGACUGUUUACUAAAAACACAGGUCCGUGCGAAGUCGUAAGACGAUGUAUACGGACUGACGCCUGCCCGGUGCUGGAACGUUAAGGGGACCGGUUAGUCCGCAAGGGCGAAGCUGAGAACUUAAGCGCCAGUAAACGGCGGUGGUAACUAUAACCAUCCUAAGGUAGCGAAAUUCCUUGUCGGGUAAGUUCCGACCUGCACGAAUGGCGUAACGACUUCCCUACUGUCUCAACCACAGGCCCGGCGAAAUUGCACUACGAGUAAAGAUGCUCGUUACGCGCGGAAGGACGGAAAGACCCCGGGACCUUCACUAUAGCUUGACAUUGGUAUCCGAAUUUAAUUGUGUAGGAUAGGUGGGAGGCUUUGAUCCGCGGACGCCAGUCCGUCGGGGAGCCAACGUUGAAAUACCACUCUGUUGACUUUGGGUAUCUAACUUCGGACCGUGAUCCGGUUCAGGGACAGUGUCUGGUGGGUAGUUUAACUGGGGCGGUUGCCUCCUAAAAUGUAACGGAGGCGCCCAAAGGUUCCCUCAGCCUGGUUGGCAAUCAGGUGUUGAGUGCAAGUGCACAAGGGAGCUUGACUGUGAGACUGACAGGUCGAGCAGGGACGAAAGUCGGGACUAGUGAUCCGGCACCUGCGAGUGGAAGCGGUGUCGCUCAACGGAUAAAAGGUACCCCGGGGAUAACAGGCUGAUCUUCCCCAAGAGUCCAUAUCGACGGGAUGGUUUGGCACCUCGAUGUCGGCUCGUCGCAUCCUGGGGCUGGAGUAGGUCCCAAGGGUUGGGCUGUUCGCCCAUUAAAGCGGCACGCGAGCUGGGUUUAGAACGUCGUGAGACAGUUCGGUCCCUAUCCUCCGCGCGCGUAGGAGACUUGAGAAGAGCUGUCCCUAGUACGAGAGGACCGGGACGGACGAACCUCUGGUGUGCCAGUUGUCAUGCCAAUGGCACGGCUGGUUAGCUACGUUCGGAAGGGAUAACCGCUGAAAGCAUCUAAGCGGGAAGCUCGCUUCAAGAUGAGGUCUCCCACCCCUUAGAGGGUUAAGGCCCCCAGCUAGACCACUGGGUUGAUAGGCCAUAAGUGUAAGCCUGGUAACAGGUUCAGCCGACUGGUACUAAUAGGCCGAGGACUUUACCA
Molecule: ribosomal RNA, 1247 nt
Filed under: metagenome
Description: bacterial LSU rRNA
Rfam family: Bacterial large subunit ribosomal RNA
Source: RNAcentral